CCCUUAGAUGUUCUGGGCCGCACGCGUGCUACACUGAACGGUUCAAUGGGUAAGGUAGUGCGAAAGCAUGACCUAAUCUCGAAAUCCGUUCGUGCUGGGGAUAGAAGCUUGCAAUUAUCCUUCUUGAACGAGGAAUACCUUGUAAGCGUGAGUCAUCAUCUCACGCUGAAUACGUCCCUGCCCUUUGUACACACCGCCCGUCGCUACUACCGAUUGAAUGGUUUAGUGAGAUCUUCGGAUUGGCGCCUACGCGGCUUCUCUGAGGCCACGCUGGAUGCCGAAAAGUUGCUCAAACUGUAUCAUUUAGAGGAAGUAAAAGUCGUAACA
RNAcentral lists this ribosomal RNA (327 nucleotides) under uncultured eukaryote. RNAcentral describes it as "partial 18S ribosomal RNA". It matches the Rfam family "Eukaryotic small subunit ribosomal RNA", at positions 1470 to 1796 of the family's 1831-position model. The record is from RNAcentral.